GACGAACGCUGGCGGCGUGCUUAACACAUGCAAGUCGAACGAUGAAGCUGGAGCUUGCUCCGGUGGAUUAGUGGCGAACGGGUGAGUAACACGUGAGCAUUCUGCCCUUCACUCUGGGAUAACUGCGGGAAACUGUAGCUAAUACCGGAUACGAGACCUUGGGGCAUCCCAGGGUCUGGAAAGAAUUUCGGUGAAGGAUGAGCUCGCGGCCUAUCAGCUAGUUGGUGAGGUAAUGGCUCACCAAGGCGACGACGGGUAGCCGGCCUGAGAGGGUGACCGGCCACACGGGGACUGAGACACGGCCCAGACUCCUACGGGAGGCAGCAGUGGGGAAUAUUGCACAAUGGGCGAAAGCCUGAUGCAGCAACGCCGCGUGAGGGAUGAAGGCCUUCGGGUUGUAAACCUCUUUUAGUAGGGAAGAAGCGCAAGUGACGGUACCUACAGAAAAAGCACCGGCUAACUACAUGCCAGCCGCCGCCGUAA
This 483-nucleotide ribosomal RNA is filed under the name uncultured bacterium. RNAcentral describes it as "partial 16S ribosomal RNA". It matches the Rfam family "Bacterial small subunit ribosomal RNA", at positions 28 to 523 of the family's 1533-position model. The record is from RNAcentral.